This 301-nucleotide ribosomal RNA is filed under the name uncultured bacterium. Its description in RNAcentral is "partial 16S ribosomal RNA". It matches the Rfam family "Bacterial small subunit ribosomal RNA", at positions 509 to 807 of the family's 1533-position model. The record is from RNAcentral.
CAGCCGCCACGGGAAUACGAAGGGUGCAAGCGUUACUCGGAAUUACUGGGCGUAAAGCGUGCGUAGGUGGUUGUUUAAGUCUGCUGUGAAAGCCCUGGGCUCAACCUGGGAAUUGCAGUGGAUACUGGGCAACUAGAGUAAGGUAGAGGAUAGUGGAAUUUCCGGUGUAGCAGUGAAAUGCGUAGAGAUCGGAAGGAACAUCUGUGGCGAAGGCGACUAUCUGGGCCAUUACUGACACUGAGGCACGAAAGCGUGGGGAGCAAACAGGAUUAGAUACCCCUGUAGUCCCUGUCUCUUAUAC